UUUAAGUGCAACCAUAAGUUUCCGUGCCCAACUUUAAUCAUCCGUUUUAUUUAAUUUUUUUUAUAAUUAAUAUUUUUAUUAUUAUGAGAUGAUAAAAUAUGAAUAGUAUUUUAUACGUAACUAGCAAAAUGCCCGUGCUUCGCUACGGGUAUAAUGAAAUGUUAAAUGCUAUAAAUACACGGUUAAC
Molecule: microRNA precursor, 187 nt
Filed under: Oryza meridionalis
Lineage: Eukaryota; Viridiplantae; Streptophyta; Magnoliopsida; Poales; Poaceae
Description: MIR812 microRNA precursor family
Rfam family: MIR812 microRNA precursor family
Source: Rfam by way of RNAcentral